GAUGAACGCUGGCGGCGUGCCUAAUACAUGCAAGUCGAGCGAACAGACGAGGAGCUUGCUCCUCUGACGUUAGCGGCGGACGGGUGAGUAACACGUGGAUAACCUACCUAUAAGACUGGGAUAACUUCGGGAAACCGGAGCUAAUACCGGAUAAUAUAUUGAACCGCAUGGUUCAAUAGUGAAAGACGGUGUUGCUGUCACUUAUAGAUGGAUCCGCGCCGCAUUAGCUAGUUGGUAAGGUAACGGCUUACCAAGGCAACGAUGCGUAGCCGACCUGAGAGGGUGAUCGGCCACACUGGAACUGAGCCACGGUCCAGCCUCCUACGGGAGGCAGCAGUAGGGAAUCUUCCGCAAUGGGCGAAAGCCUGACGGAGCAACGCCGCGUGAGUGAUGAAGGUCUUCGGAUCGUAAAACUCUGUUAUUAGGGAAGAACAAAUGUGUACGUAACUAUGCACGUCUUGACGGUACCUAAUCAGAAAGCCACGGCUAACUACGUG
This 497-nucleotide ribosomal RNA is filed under the name uncultured bacterium. Its description in RNAcentral is "partial 16S ribosomal RNA". It matches the Rfam family "Bacterial small subunit ribosomal RNA", at positions 28 to 507 of the family's 1533-position model. The record is from RNAcentral.